Molecule: non-coding RNA, 273 nt
Organism: Vicia faba (fava bean)
Lineage: Eukaryota; Viridiplantae; Streptophyta; Magnoliopsida; Fabales; Fabaceae
Source: the annotation of a GenBank genome assembly
AUGUUUUGGACAUGUUUAAGGCAGGUUGAUGUAGGGCUAGUCUUGGAUUAUUGUGGGAAGCAUAUGACUGUUUGGAAAGCAGGGUAUUUGGACUGGUUUUGGCUGUAUUUGGUAGCAAUGGCAGGUUUUGUGCACAGUAGCAGAAUGGACAACAAUUGGCAAGGAACCAAGUUGAAAUUUCAUGGAGAUUUAUGGCAUAUCAUUGUAUUACUUUUAUGGUUUAGAAAUUUUGUAAUGUUAUUCUCAAUAUCUCAUGUAGAACAUAAAGAAUGA